GACGAACGCUGGCGGCGUGCCUAAUACAUGCAAGUCGAGCGGGCUUAUUCCUUCGGGGAUAAGCUAGCGGCGGACGGGUGAGUAACACGUAGGUAACCUGCCCAACAGCCUGGGAUAACGUCCGGAAACGGAUGCUAAUACCGGAUACGCUAACCGGAACACCUGUUCCGGCACGGAAAGGCGGAGCAAUCUGCCACUGAUGGAUGGGCCUGCGGCGCAUUAGCUAGUUGGUGGGGUAAAGGCUCACCAAGGCGACGAUGCGUAGCCGACCUGAGAGGGUGAUCGGCCACACUGGGACUGAGACACGGCCCAGACUCCUACGGGAGGCAGCAGUAGGGAAUCUUCGGCAAUGGACGAAAGUCUGACCGAGCAACGCCGCGUGAGUGAAGAAGGCUUUCGGGUCGUAAAACUCUGUUAUCCGAGAAGAACGUUUCAUGGAGUAACUGCCAUGGAAGUGACGGUAUCGGAGA
This 470-nucleotide ribosomal RNA is filed under the name uncultured bacterium. Its description in RNAcentral is "bacterial SSU rRNA". It matches the Rfam family "Bacterial small subunit ribosomal RNA", at positions 28 to 484 of the family's 1533-position model. The record is from RNAcentral.